CCUACGGGAGGCAGCAGUGAGGAAUAUUGGUCAAUGGACGAGAGUCUGAACCAGCCAAGUAGCGUGAAGGAUGACUGCCCUAUGGGUUGUAAACUUCUUUUAUAUGGGAAUAAAACAGGGUAUGCAUACCCUCUUGUAUGUACCAUAUGAAUAAGGAUCGGCUAACUCCGUUCCAGCAGCCGCGGUAAUACGGAGGAUCCGAGCGUUAUCCGGAUUUAGUGGGUUUAAAGGGAGCGUAGGUGGAUUGUUAAGUAAGUUGUGAAAGUUUGCGGCUCAACCGUAAAAUUGCAGUUGAAACUGGCAGUGUUGAGUACAGUAGAGGUGGGUGGAACUCGUGGUGUAGCGGUGGAAUGCUUAGAUAUCACGAAGAACUCCGAUUGCGAAGGUAGCUCACUGGACUGCAACUGACACUGAUGCUCGAAAGUGUGGGUAUCAAACAGGAUUAGAUACCCUUGUAGUC
Molecule: ribosomal RNA, 460 nt
Filed under: uncultured bacterium
Lineage: Bacteria
Description: partial 16S ribosomal RNA
Rfam family: Bacterial small subunit ribosomal RNA
Source: RNAcentral